AGCCUCUGACACAACAUGUAAACGGUUGACGGACUUUCGACAUUGAAAACAGGUGUGAGUUAUGCCAGUGUCUCCGCGUUGGUCACGAACUAUUGCUCAGUGAAACUUUCAAAUAUUGACUCUUCUUCCUCUAAAAAAUAUGGAUACGUCAUCUAUGCUCGAUCUGCCGCCAGUUCCGGACUGUUUUAGUAGACUUUUGGUAGGGGAGCAAAGUACUUCACACUUACCAACCCAACCGUGGAGAGAAGUCGAAAAACUGAAGGAGCUAAAGGACAUCAUGUUGAAAACUUUAGCGAAAGACUCAGUCCCUGGUGCAAAAGCUUUGUUCAAUGGAGAUCUAGGCGGAAAGGAAGAUAGUGAUUCGGAAGCGCACACAGGAGGAGUGGCUGCAACACCAUUUAACCGUCUCAAUCAGGCAUUAGACACUCUGAAAAAAGAAAUGGCCAGCCUUCGUCAUCUGGAUAUGUCUCUUUUCUGCCAGCUCCUGUCUCUAAAUGAGGCAAUCCAGGAAUUCAAAAUAUCCAUGCAAGAUCGCUAUUCAGAAUACACUGGCUCUGAAUAUACUGGGUCAGAAUAUAAUGGUUCAGAAUAUUCAUAUGGAGGCAUGGGAAGCAGAACUGGCUCCUUUUCUAGCCUUAUUGAAGAGAGUGACUGGAACACUGACUUUAGGAUGAACUAUGAUGAUCCUAACAGUCCAUCCUCAGCUGCUGAAGGAAUAAAUGACAUGGGGGAGAUAACUGCCAGUGCUUCUAGUUUGAUGCAACAGAUUGAAGCAUUGGCAUUAAGAGCUGACGCUGACUUUUCUUUGUGAGAACUUUACCUUUUAGAGUUUUUUAGAGGAGAAGUUUACAAUAUAGCACUGAUGGACAUGGAGGUUAAUGUUAAUUUUUUUUUUUUGCAUCUGUCUGUGUAUCUCAAAACAUCACAACCUUAGAAUUAUAAAUCAAUUUCACACUUAUUUAAUAUGUGGAGGGAAAAUCAUAAAAAUAUACUCAGUCUUUGGUAUUCACAGGGCUAGAGUGUUGGAAAAUGUGGAAAUAAUUGGAAAUAACCCUAACCCUUUAAGUUUCACUUAAAUCCUUACCUCUAAGUUCUGUUGAUCAUAUCUUUCAUACAAUAAAUUAAAAUAACACACUGUGUAUGCUGUAUUGCAGCAGUAUGUUCUAUGAAUUUAAAAUAAGUUUUGGGCGGCUUUAGCAGAGUGUACAGUCCAUAGUUUUGAAAAACAUUAAGACUUGCUACCAAAUUUAACUUUUUACAAUAAGAUUUAAUAAGAUAUUUAUGGCUGUAAACGAAAAAAUUAAUGAUACAUUUUUUAUGUAUUUAUGAUUUACUAAGUUUUUUUUUAGUUUUCUUUACAUUUUGUAGUCUACAUGCGCUGUCUGAGAUUUUCCACAUUAGACUGAAAAACUCCAAAAUAAUUUUUAUUUAAUUAUUGAUAUCAAGCGUACGAUUUAUCAAAAGUGAAAAAGUGAAGCUUGCAAAUGCUGAGGGUUAUGUUAUGACUUGAAUCUAAACAUAAAGACCAAAAUAGGAUGGGGAAGAGGGGAAAAAGAGUUUAGAAAGCAAAUACAACUGAUUACAUACACAUACAUAUAAGGAUGAGUUCAGGACUCAUGAUGUACUGUUAAUGAGAUCUGUUUAAUGCUGCUUCUAUUCCACUGUUUUGGGUUAUGCUAUAAAUCCACUCAGAAUAGUAAUUAGAAUAAAAUACAAGAUUUAUACCACAACAUUAUGUUUUCCUCAACUCUAAGUACUGGCCUGGUAUUCAUUCCCUUGAUUGCCCUGCAUGACCUAUGCUGGUCAACUCACACUGGCCUACCAGUGGAAAGGAGGUUGGCAUUGGCCUCCCUCUAAGGUACCCUGUCUUAAGAGAUUCUGGAUUUGAUGACAGAGCACAUUCCCAUAAUCCAAGGAUUCAAAGAGAAAGGGACCCUGGUGUUAAAACUGUAAUGAGUACUAACACAGGGAAAGCAUUCAAUAUCAGCAACUCCAUACAUAUAUUAUAUAUUAACCUUCUUAAUAGUAUUUAUAUCAUUGAAUAUCAUUCUAUUUAACAUCCAUAGAUUUGGUCGAAAAAGACUAACAGCACUUAAUAGGUUCAUGAAGCUUUUUUCUAUACUCAUUCCAAAUGGGACUAACUUUUCCCAGGGUUAGGGCAGACUAAGUAAUUUAAGUUCUGUCUUAUCAAUACUUGAGCUCAACUGUACAAAUCUCAUUUGAAGGAAAAUUACCUGUAACGUCUUGUAGUAAAUGUCCAAGAGAAGGAUCUGAUAUAGGAUAGCUCUUUUGAGCAUAAUAUGUUUAAUGAUUUCUCCAUUUCAUUCAGCCCAUCUUAUCAAAUCUUUAAAAUAUGUUGUGUUUAUAGCUUUAUUUUCUUACCUAAAACUUAUGAUGGUCAGUCCUGUAGUAAUUUGCUGAGUGUCAGUUUUGCCGCUAUAAAGAAAAUCAUGUUGCAGUAAAUGCUUAUUAGUUUUGCUAACAGAUUUUGACAGCAGUGCUUUAGCUGCUUAUGCAAGCUUUAAUUGCAGCACAUCAACUUAAGUAUACAAAGCACUGUAUAUUAUAAUUAUAGUUAUGUUGAUAGUAAGAUGGUUAUGUUAAUCACACUACAAGUAUGUGCCUGGCACACACCACUGGCCUUCUCUGCCACUGUCAAACAUUUUCACUUUUGAGGCAUAAAUUGUGCGUAGAAGUGAAAUGUGAUAUAUUUGAGAGCCCUCCUCUUUGCUAUAUUGGUGGAGAUAUUUGAAUUAUAGCUUAUAGUUGUGUUGAAUUUAAAAAAAAUGUAUUCACCGUUACACUCAUUAAGCUUACAAAUUUUAUUAUCCAUCUUAUAUCAUUCAGAAACUAUGGCAUCAUACCACUGCUUUUCCUUAUGGUAUGGUUAACUGUCAGUUUCAUUUGUGGUUUUUAUUCAUAGCACACUUCUUUGCAUUGAGAAAUGCACUUACAAAUUUUAUUAUUAUUGUUGUUGCUGUUGUUGAUUCUAAUAGUAGUGUCAUGUGUUGUGCAUGAGCAUUGUGAGUUACUGAGCAUUGUGGGAUAUACACUGAUGAGAUGACUUAAUCAUUAAUAAUUUUUCUGCAUUCCAGUCCCCAAGGGCAUUAUUUGCCCUGGAAAAUAAUGUUUUGGCCAUUUGGAGAGAGGACUGACUUUUGAAACUUAUAGAAUUAUUGUCUCCCUUGUCUAAAUCUUUGGUGUAAGGAAGUCAUUGAGCAUUUGUUGCAAAGGCAAAGUGUACAGCACACGAUGAAAUCAAGUCAGCUUUUCUGUGUUGUGUAUGCUUUAUUAUGUCAAAUUAGGACCUUGCAUUCAGAGAGUUUCCACACUUAUAAAAUGGAUUAAAAUUAGCUGCAAAGUUAUUAGCCUUUGUGAAUGCUACUAUUCCCUCCAAGAGAGCAAUGGAUAAUCUGUUGUUUUUUUUAAAGGGCCAUUCAUUGUGAAAAUUUACUUUGCCAUCUUUGAUGCUUUUACCACCACCAUUAUUAUUGUAUUUUCACCAAGAAAGCUGAUGACGUCAACAGAUUGAGUGCUACUAUCUCAUAAAUGGCAUUGGUCUCUUAGAUUUUGUUUUAAAACUUUGAGGGUCACGUAUAUUUUACUGGCAUUUUUUUAGUUGAGAUUACAUACCUGACAGUUGCCUUUCAUAAUACCCAAAACACAGCUAUUUUAUUUGUUCCGAGACGCAUUUUGCAGGCUACUCUAUGAGUAGGAAAAAAAAUAACUUGUGUAUUGGUCUGUUCUACAUCUGAACUAUGGCAUUUAGUACCUAGGUACUGCUUUUCAAGUCUUCCAGUUUGUCUCCCACAGUCUACUGUAUGUUAUGGCUUUUUGGCAUCCUAAUUCUCUAGAAGUAUUACAACAUUCCCACAAGAUAACAGCAAACCAUCUUUUGAUGUGUAAGAUAAUGAUUUUUCAAAACAUUUCCAGCCUCACAUGCAGUUUUUCAGCUGGAUUGAGCAGGUUGAAAAUAACUAUGAACUGUAUGUUUCCUCAUCCCAUUUAUCAUUUUAUAGACAUAACAUUUGGAUGUUGUGUUGUGUGUGUCCAUGUAUGUGUUCUUAUUAUUCUCUGUGUACUUUAUUAUUUCUCUCAACUACAAGUGAUGCACAUAUGAUCUGUGUGUGCUCUCACUCUCUAUUACAUUGCCAUUAAUUUGUGUAAAGCCCAUCAAGUCUGCUCUAUAGUGGAGAAAUAUGCUGUAUAAAUAUGCUCAUUAUUAUGAAAUGGCUAUACUGAUUUUCAUCCACAGUUUCUUGAUCAUAAAAAAAUGGGUUUUUUUGGCAGACUUAUUUAUUACAUAUUUUUGACAUGUAAGAUAUAGUACAAAUUCAUAAUAUACUUGUCUUAGAAGGGCAUGAUGUUCCUUUCUAUAUUGGUUGUAAUAAUGUACUAACAUUCCUGAAGGAAUAUGGAUGCAGCAAAAGUUUUUUAAACUUGUUCUCCAGUGCUGAUACUCUUAUCAUUGACUUUUCAUUCAUCCACAUUGACAAUGUGACCAAAAAAGAAUCUCCACUGAAGAGAUAUAACCCUUGGAGGUGAAAUCUCCUUGUUUUCCUUAAAGCUUACAAACUUCAUGCAAAUGGCUGUAUGGCCAAAGUGUGUUGUGAAAAUUGUUACAGUUCUAUGAUGAAUAUUUUCAUUGAUUAAACAGUAUUUAUUAGUAUUAUUUAUUUUUAAUAGACCUUGUUUGAAUUUGAAUCAUAUGACUUACAUUCGGCAUCUGAGAUUCAUUGUUUCAAAAAUGAAAAUACUCACUACAAUAGCAAUGAAAGAUAUAAAGUGAAGCUUGUAUUCUUUUUUCAUCUUGUUAUAAAUUUAAAUUUUGAGCAGUAGACUUUGAGGGAAAGAGCAUAAUUUUGUUGGACAUUUUUUGUAAAUAGUUUUGUUGAAUCAUUUUGCCUAAACCACAGUAUGACCUUGUCAAGUAAGAUAGAAGUAUAAAAGAUUUGUUUGUAUGAGAUACACUGUUGUCAGUUGGCACAUCUGCUAGUUAUUUGCAAUGUUGAGUUCAAGAUUAAUGCCUGUUUUGACUCAUGAAACUGUCAUCACUGAACUAUUUAUUCUGAGAUUUAAAAUGAUAUUUUAGUUCACUGAGGUACUACUUUUCCAGUCUUCCAGUUUGUCUCCCAUAGUCUACUAUAUGUUAUGUCUUGGUGGUUGUCAGCAUCCUAAUUCUCUAAUUCCCGCAAGAUAAUGGCAACCCAUCUGUUGAUGUGUAAGGCAAUGACUUUUCAAAAAGAAAUCAACAUUGGGAAAUAAUAAUUGUAACAUUGUUAUAAAUUAUUUUAGUGAGCAAUUUGAUAUUCUUUUAUAUUCUGAUUUGUACUUGCUUCUUGAGUUCAUAGCCUUUCCAGCAUAAUACUUGUGUUUUAUUGUUUUAUUUUGUAAGGCCUGAAAGGAUACCACACUUGAUUUUUGUAAAUAAUCCGCCCUUCACCUAGUGUCGUCAUUUUAGUACUCAAGAUCUGAUGUUUUUGGAUGCAUCUACUUAGGUAUAUUGGAAAAUAUACAAUAUUUGUUGGAAAGUGAAACAGUAAAUUACAAGACAACAGUAUUGAUAGGAACUGCUCCCCUAUUAUUCUUGAAAGAGUUAAGGCUUUAUACUGUCAGGAUUGAAAUGCAAUACAUCCAAGUAAUAUGUAUUGUUUUUUAUAUAGCAUACAUGAUAGUUAAAUAAUCUUAAUGCUGCUGCAUGAUGAUCAAAUUGUUUUGACACAGAUAACAUGGCAUACAGACUAUGGCAAUGUGAAACUGACCAAGAUCUUGUUGUAAUCUACCUCCAUAUAAUACUGUAGUUUGUUUUUCAGGCUUUAUGUUGGUGCUAACCUUUUUCAGUUGUGUGUGUGGGUGAGAAAGAGAGGAAAAUGAUGACUGAAACCAGUGUAUUACUGUGUUAGCACAUGCACAUUCAUAAGCAUGGAAAUAGUGAAUGUACAUUACAUUGUUGAAAUGAUUUGUAUAGUAUGCAUAAUGUGUAAUCAGUAUAUGCAAGAUGAAGGAUGUCAACCCCAAAUGCACGAGAGAGAGAGAGAAUGUUUGUGAUGAAGAUAACUGAACUAUUGUAUUAAAUACGGAUGCUAAGUGGCUGCGUGGGAAGCUAACUGUAAGGGGUUCACCAUGUCAAGGAUAUGGCAUGUGAAAGACAGAGCCCAAGUCUCACUUUCUGGCACAUCUUAGCUUCCCCUCCUCCACCCUUUGAUAAAGCAGGCAGUUAUAAGUUCAGCUGGGAGUUUCCCAGUCACUAGCUUCCCCAUUCCCACCCUGCCGGGUAAACUUAGAACCGGCGACCUUUAUUUUAUUUUGCUCCAAAGUCGAACAAAAUAACCCACCAGCCCCUUGGUGCCUCCCCUGCUGAUAUAUCAGCACAAGUAUCACAAAGUAUGAUUACUAGAGCUAUUCUGAGUUUAAAGCGAUGAUGAUAUCUGUAAAAGAUAUUUUUCACAUGAUGAUAGAGCUGAUAAAUCUUCGUAGACAUGAUAUAUAUAUAUGGCGUACAUCAGUAGUUGUGAGUGUGAUGCACAAAUCCGGCCAUUCUGUUGACCAGUCUUUCACCUGCUCAGCACGAGAGAAGGGUAUCAUAUCAUGAUACGUACUGUCUUUCCAUCAACUGCAUGGCCUUCUGUUGUUUCCUUUUCGCUGGCAAUGAAACUACGAACACGUCGUUGACUAUUAAAGAGAUUAAAAUGUAUGUUUGCCGUUUAUGUUAGUGUUGUGCAAAGCUGAAUAAACAUUGAAGUAUGCAAACAGU
Long non-coding RNA from Pomacea canaliculata, 6754 nucleotides. RefSeq lists it as uncharacterized. The record is from RefSeq and is a predicted model, not a curated record. NCBI's taxonomy places the organism in Eukaryota, Metazoa, Mollusca, Gastropoda, Architaenioglossa, Ampullariidae. The transcript is spliced from 2 exons.